RNAcentral lists this transfer RNA (68 nucleotides) under Stenus boops. RNAcentral's name for it is "tRNA-Met". The record is from RNAcentral. Lineage: Eukaryota; Metazoa; Arthropoda; Insecta; Coleoptera; Staphylinidae.
AAAAAGAUAAGCUAAUCAAGCUCCUAGGUUCAUACCCUAAUUAUAAAGGCCCACCCCUUUUCUUUUUG